AGAGUUUGAUCCUGGCUCAGGACGAACGCUGGCGGCGUGGAUUAGGCAUGCAAGUCGAACGGUAUGGACCUUUCGGGGUUCAGAGAGUGGCGAACGGGUGAGUAACACGUAGGUAAUCUACCCUCAAGACGGGGACAACCCAGGGAAACUUGGGCUAAUACCGGAUGUGUGUAGUGGCUAUUUUUCUGAUUAUCAUUAUUUACGUAAGUGAGUAAUAAUAAGAAGGGAAAGUGGUUAUUACAUAAAAGGUGGCGUAAGCUGCCGCUUGGGGAUGAGCCUGCGUCCUAUUAGUUAGUUGGUGAGGUAACGGCUUACCAAGGCGAUGAUAGGUAGGCGGCCUUAACGGGUGGUCGCCCACACUGGGAUUGAGAUACGGCCCAGACUCCUACGGGAGGCAGCAGUCGAGAAUAGUCUACAAUGGACGGAAGUCUGAUAGUGCGACGCCGCGUGAACGAAGAAUCCCUUCGGGGUGUAAAGUUCUUUUAUACGUGAGCAGUGUCCUUUAUAUUAAUAGUAUAAGGGGAGAGAUAUUAGCGUAUGAAUAAGCAACGGCUAACUCCGUGCCAGCAGCCGCGGUAACACGGGGGUUGCGAGCGUUGUCCGGAAUUACUAGGCGUAAAGUGCAGGUAGGCGGAUAAAUAAGUUUAAGGUUAAAGGCUACGGCUUACCCGUAGUAAGGCGUUAGAUACUGUUUAUCUGGAAUGCGGUUGAGGGAGACAGAAUUCCUGGUGUAGCGGUGGAAUGC
RNAcentral lists this ribosomal RNA (745 nucleotides) under uncultured bacterium. Its description in RNAcentral is "bacterial SSU rRNA". It matches the Rfam family "Bacterial small subunit ribosomal RNA", at positions 8 to 689 of the family's 1533-position model. The record is from RNAcentral.